AUUGAACGCUGGCGGCAUGCUUUACACAUGCAAGUCGAACGGUAACAGGGUGCUUGCACCGCUGACGAGUGGCGAACGGGUGAGUAAUGCGUCGGAACGUGCCGAGUAGUGGGGGAUAACGCAGCGAAAGUUGUGCUAAUACCGCAUACGUACUGAGGUAGAAAGUGGGGGACCUUCGGGCCUCACGCUAUUCGGGCGGCCGACGUCUGAUUAGCUAGUAGGUGAGGUAAAGGCUCACCUAGGCGACGAUCAGUAGCGGGUCUGAGAGGAUGGGCCGCACGACUGGGCCUGAGACACGGCCCGGACGCCUACGGGAGGCAGCAGUGGGGAAUUUUGGACAAUGGGCGAAAGCCUGAUCCAGCCAUGCCGCGUGUCUGAAGAAGGCCUUCGGGUUGUAAAGGACUUUUGUCAGGGAGGAAAUCCCUAGUGCUAAUAACACUGGGGGAUGACAGUACCUGAAGAAUAAGCACCGGCUAACUACGUGCCAGCAGCCGCCGUAA
RNAcentral lists this ribosomal RNA (500 nucleotides) under uncultured bacterium. Its description in RNAcentral is "partial 16S ribosomal RNA". It matches the Rfam family "Bacterial small subunit ribosomal RNA", at positions 30 to 523 of the family's 1533-position model. The record is from RNAcentral.